UGGGGAAUAUUGCACAAUGGGCGCAAGCCUGAUGCAGCCAUGCCGCGUGUAUGAAGAAGGCCUUCGGGUUGUAAAGUACUUUCAGCGAGGAGGAAGGCGUUAAGGUUAAUAACCUUAGCGAUUGACGUUACUCGCAGAAGAAGCACCGGCUAACUCCGUGCCAGCAGCCGCGGUAAUACGGAGGGUGCAAGCGUUAAUCGGAAUUACUGGGCGUAAAGCGCACGCAGGCGGUCUGUUAAGUCAGAUGUGAAAUCCCCGGGCUCAACCUGGGAACUGCAUUUGAAACUGGCAGGCUUGAGUCUUGUAGAGGGGGGUAGAAUUCCAGGUGUAGCGGUGAAAUGCGUAGAGAUCUGGAGGAAUACCGGUGGCGAAGGCGGCCCCCUGGACAAAGACUGACGCUCAGGUGCGAAAGCGUGGGGAGCAAACA
Molecule: ribosomal RNA, 427 nt
Filed under: Caulobacter vibrioides
Lineage: Bacteria; Pseudomonadati; Pseudomonadota; Alphaproteobacteria; Caulobacterales; Caulobacteraceae
Also listed under: 1 other name
Description: partial 16S ribosomal RNA
Rfam family: Bacterial small subunit ribosomal RNA
Source: RNAcentral